RNAcentral lists this ribosomal RNA (548 nucleotides) under uncultured bacterium. Its description in RNAcentral is "partial 16S ribosomal RNA". It matches the Rfam family "Bacterial small subunit ribosomal RNA", at positions 355 to 893 of the family's 1533-position model. The record is from RNAcentral.
UGGGGAAUAUUGCACAAUGGGCGCAAGCCUGAUGCAGCCAUGCCGCGUGUGUGAAGAAGGCCUUCGGGUUGUAAAGCACUUUCAGCGAGGAGGAAGGUGGUGAGCUUAAUACGCUCAUCAAUUGACGUUACUCGCAGAAGAAGCACCGGCUAACUCCGUGCCAGCAGCCGCGGUAAUACGGAGGGUGCAAGCGUUAAUCGGAAUUACUGGGCGUAAAGUGCACGCAGGCGGUUUGUUAAGUCAGAUGUGAAAUCCCCGGGCUCAACCUGGGAACUGCAUUUGAAACUGGCAAGCUAGAGUCUCGUAGAGGGGGGUAGAAUUCCAGGUGUAGCGGUGAAAUGCGUAGAGAUCUGGAGGAAUACCGGUGGCGAAGGCGGCCCCCUGGACGAAGACUGACGCUCAGGUGCGAAAGCGUGGGGCAGCAAACAGGAUUAGAUACCCUGGUAGUCCAGCGCUGUAAACGAUGUCGAUUUGGAGGUUGUGCCCUUGAGGCGUGGCUUCCGGAGCUAACGCGUUAAAUCGACCGCCUGGGGAGUACGGCCGCAAGG